AGCAGUAGCCGCGGGAAAACCAGCACCUCGAGUGGUCAGGAGGUUUAUUGGGCCUAAAGCAUCCGUAGCCGGUUGCAUAAGUUUUCGGUUAAAUCUAUGCGCUUAACGUAUAGGCCGCCGAAAAUACUGUGCAGCUAGGGAGUGGGAGAGGUACACGGUACUCGAUAGGAAGGGGUAAAAUCCUUUGAUCUAUUGAUGACCACCUGUGGCGAAGGCGGUGUACCAGAACACGUUCGACGGUGAGGGAUGAAAGCUGGGGGAGCAAACCGGAUUAGAUACCCCAGUAGUCCCUGUCUCUUAUAC
Molecule: ribosomal RNA, 303 nt
Filed under: uncultured bacterium
Lineage: Bacteria
Description: partial 16S ribosomal RNA
Rfam family: Archaeal small subunit ribosomal RNA
Source: RNAcentral